Daucus carota subsp. sativus is the source of this 941-nucleotide long non-coding RNA. RefSeq lists it as uncharacterized. The transcript is spliced from 2 exons. The record is from RefSeq and is a predicted model, not a curated record. Lineage: Eukaryota; Viridiplantae; Streptophyta; Magnoliopsida; Apiales; Apiaceae.
AUUGUUGUUAAAUGUAUAGAAUAUGAUUAUAUGUGAUCUAAUUGCUAUUAAUUGAUGAUUGCAUGGACUAUCUAGUUGUUCUAGUAUUACAUACAUGUGAUAAAUGAUUAAAUGACAUAGUGUCGUGUCUUGAUAGAUGUCGGAUAAAAGCAUAUGGAUUAUAGUGAUUGGAUUUGGUUGGUUGAUUGUUGAUUGAGAUAGGAUAACAGGUGGAUAGUCUAAUAAAUAGACGAGACGAUGUCGGAUUUUCGAUAAGAUUUAUAUGAUAUUUAAUUGAUAAUAUGUUAUGUGAAAUAUGAUUAGACUAUAUGGUAGAGUCAAAGCAUGAUUAUGUGUUAAGUGAUAUUUGAUGAGUUUAAAGAGUUAUAUAAGUGGGUAUCGAUAUACGUGAUAUGUGUAUGCGAUAGGUUAUGCUACCGAGUUGAUAAGUAGAGAUAAGAAUCAAUAGAUUAUUUAGUGAUAAUGGUAGUAUCUUAUUCUCGUAAAGGGUUUGGACGAGACGGAUACGAUCGAAGACGUUCAGAAGGUCAAACGAUGUUACAAAGCGAAUAAGGAACGAAUCGAGUAAACGAAGCAGUGUGGCGAAUAGAGUAUAGCCAAAGAUGGUCUAGAGACUAUGAUAUGCAUAGAGUGUGAAAGUGGAAAGAUGAGAUUGAGAUAUGAGACUGGAAUCGGAUUUAAGAAAAGCUUAGAGUUGAAUUGAGAUUGCGAGUAUGGCUAAGGCUAAGCGAGGAGUCAGAGUUACAGAAUAUCCAGAGGACAAGUGGAAUGUUCAGGGAGAUUGACAAGGUUGGUUCUAGAUAGAGUUGUAUUAUUGAGAUUCAGUUGUAAGUCAUAAUUGAGGUAGACUGGCAGUGAUUCUUCUUAUCGAAGAUGAUCUGAGUUUGUAAGAUAAUGUUUAUUAAUAGUGGUUGAUUCUAAUUUCAAUACUGUAACCUGGA